Ornithorhynchus anatinus (platypus) is the source of this 511-nucleotide long non-coding RNA. RefSeq lists it as uncharacterized. Lineage: Eukaryota; Metazoa; Chordata; Mammalia; Monotremata; Ornithorhynchidae. The transcript is spliced from 4 exons. The record is from RefSeq and is a predicted model, not a curated record.
AGGUCCGUGCUCUAUCCACUACACCAUGCUGCUUCUCAUCCACGACUCCUUGCUGCUACUCUAUGCUGGGCUAACAUAUCCCAUGGAUAUCACAGACAUCUCAAAAGAUGACAGAGCCUAAAUCGCGGUUCAUCCAGAUUUGUUCCGGGAAGACGGAUUUUCGACUGGCCUGCCCCUCUCCAACACUGAUACAGACUUGCACGCCAAGUUUUAAAUUUUAAGCUUUGAGCUUCCUUCCCUUAGAAAACAGCGUGCCUAAUGGAAUUGCCUCCUUGCGUGCAGUCAUCUUGAGUCUCCGCCCUCGACUCUCUCCGGUGCCGCUGCUGCCCAGCAUAGAAGCUGUUGCAUCCCCUUCCUGCCUCUGAGAACUGAGGAAGAAGCAAGAAGCCGCUCGGAGCUAAACGUGAUCUUCAUCUGCCCACCCAAGGCACUGACCCCUUGAGAUUUUCCUGAUGUGACGGUGGACCUGUCCAGCCCAGCUUCAAGCAACUGUGCAUUUGCUGCUUUUCUU